GAUGAACGCUGGCGGCGUGCCUAAUACAUGCAAGUCGAGCGAACGGACGAGAAGCUUGCUUCUCUGAUGUUAGCGGCGGACGGGUGAGUAACACGUGGAUAACCUACUUAUAAUACUGGGAUAACUUCGGGAAACCGGAGCUAAUACCGGAUAAUAUUUUGAACCGCAUGGUUCAAAAGUGAAAGACGGUCUUGCUGUCACUUAUAGAUGGAUCCGCGCUGCAUUAGCUAGUUGGUAAGGUAACGGCUUACCAAGGCAACGAUGCAUAGCCGACCUGAGAGGGUGAUCAGCCACACUGGAACUGAGACACGGUCCAGACUCCUACGGGAGGCAGCAGUAGGGAAUCUUGCGCAAUGGGCGAAAGCCUGACGGAGCAACGCCGCGUGAGUGAUGAAGGUCUUCGGAUCGUAAAACUCUGUUAUUAGGGAAGAACAUAUGUGUAAGUAACUGUGCACAUCUUGACGGUACCUAAUCAGAAAGCCACGGCUAACUACGUG
RNAcentral lists this ribosomal RNA (497 nucleotides) under uncultured bacterium. RNAcentral describes it as "partial 16S ribosomal RNA". It matches the Rfam family "Bacterial small subunit ribosomal RNA", at positions 28 to 507 of the family's 1533-position model. The record is from RNAcentral.